UCCAGACUCCUACGGGAGGCAGCAGUGGGGAAUAUUGCACAAUGGGGGAAACCCUGAUGCAGCGACGCCGCGUGAGGGAAGAAGUAUUUCGGUAUGUAAACUUCUAUCAGCAGGGAAGAAAGUGACGGUACCUGACUAAGAAGCCCCGGCUAACUACGUGCCAGCAGCCGCGGUAAUACGUAGGGGGCAAGCGUUAUCCGGAUUUACUGGGUGUAAAGGGAGCGUAGGCGGCGAUGCAAGUCAGAAGUGAAAGCCCGGGGCUCAACUCCGGGACUGCUUUUGAAACUGUAUGGCUAGAUUGCAGGAGAGGCAAGUGGAAUUCCUAGUGUAGCGGUGAAAUGCGUAGAUAUUAGGAGGAACACCAGUGGCGAAGGCGGUCUGCUGGACAGCAACUGACGCUGAGGCGCGAAAGCGUGGGGAGCAAACAGGAUUAGAUACCCUAGUAACU
Molecule: ribosomal RNA, 448 nt
Filed under: uncultured bacterium
Lineage: Bacteria
Description: bacterial SSU rRNA
Rfam family: Bacterial small subunit ribosomal RNA
Source: RNAcentral